This 1847-nucleotide ribosomal RNA is filed under the name Triticum aestivum (bread wheat). Its description in RNAcentral is "partial small subunit ribosomal RNA". The record is from RNAcentral. Lineage: Eukaryota; Viridiplantae; Streptophyta; Magnoliopsida; Poales; Poaceae.
UGCGUUGGAGGGGAUCAGAAGGAGCGAGAGCAGCGCAGCGCGGCGAGGUGUCGGACGCGGAGGUGGGGAAGGGAGAAGGGGAGUGGAAGAGGGGUGGUGGCCAGGCGCAGUGCUGCGGCGGCCGUACCUCCGGACCCGAGCCCGUUGGCGGCGCCACAGCCCAAGCAGCCCCUCCAGAGACCCCUUGCGCGCUGCCCGAACUGGAGAGGGCCGAGGGGCGGGAGCGGGCGCUGCUACUCCUGGUCCAACGCGACGCGGAGGUUAGGGUCGAGUACCAGCGCGACCUGUACGGGGGUGCUGCGGCAGACGCAGCCAGACUUCGAGCGCCUCCUACCCCUGCUCCAGCCCACUUCUAAGCUGCCGGUGUGCCACCCUUUCGUUACCGCCGCCGAAGUGGCUAGACGCCCUACCGUUUGUCAAAAAACACCUAGUGGGACCUCGUCAAGGAUAAAGGUGGCGAGUCCUACUUCUCGACUUCUUCCAUUAACCGUCCUACUGGAUGCAUCUCACGUCGAGUUUUUGUGUCGUCUUAUAGUUCCGCUACAAACUACGUCGCUAAUUCCACCAAGGUCGGUAACUUCGUCUUCGUCUUCUUCACCUUCCGCGUCUUUCAUACGUGCCUGUCUGGUUACCACCUCCGAGCUCCCUGCCUCACGGCGGCGGCGGCGGUAGGAGUGGGGACUCGGGUUUGAAGGUUAAACUAUCUACCCUCCCAGACGUCUUCUUCUCGGACCUUCUCUAAAAGAACAUACUUCCAAAGGAACGACUUGGGACUUAACCGUACCUUAAGUUGGAAGAAGUUUCUUGGCCAGUACGAAGGACUUAAACAUUAAGACCCGCCUAGAGGGCUCCUUUCACGAGCCGAAUUCCGUAGAUCGUUAUACUUACUCGAGUAAAGUGAGAAUAGAGGAGUCAGCUCCGAUCAGCAAUGUAGUAGGCCGCUACUAGAAGGAAGUCUACCGUGAAACUUAAGCCUACGUUAUUGUCAAGUUCAAGAACAGUUACUACAGGUACAACCUCUGAGUCAUAACCAAUAACUCAGUAAUCUUUCCUAUCAACUACUAAGACUGAAACUUGUACCAUGGGUAGUAGUAUAACUUCAUACAACCACCAACCAUGGUUAGUAAAAAACACUAUCUUCGAACCGUACGCAAAACAGUUGACAACUUCUUCUCUUCUAACAGGAUCCGCUGACGUUCAAAAAGUUUAGAUGGAAGAUGAUCCCAACAGGACCUACCAGAUGACAACUUCUUCUGUAAACAGAUUAGUUCCUAGUCUGAUCUGGCCGCCUGCACGUAUUCGUUCUAUUCACGCGUGUACUUGUGAAUCCUCCGCACGGUUACCGUGCGGGGUCGGUAAUCAGGAGAAGUUUCUCCCGUAGUAGCUCUGUCGUGCGUCCACUAGCCGCCGAACAUCUUCAACCCACCUCUAUGUUUUUAUAGACACAGUUUUGUGUCGGUGUACGUUGGUCUGUCUCGUCUAGGUUGAGAUAACUCUUAAUGCUUCUUUUUGAUCUGUAUCAACUGCGGUGAGUGGGUUUCGUAAACCCAUGGGCUUGAGCCAUGAGCUUGGUUGGUCCUUGGUUUAAUGGCUUAACAAACAAUUAAGCCAAUAGCCAGAAUCCAAGCCAAAAGUAAAGGACGCAUAAGUGUAUCAUUGACUAUAAAGUUAUCCGGUACCAUACGCCGACUCGCUAACACGAAAUGAGUGGUUUUUAGUUCCGGGUUGCUUUAGGUCCGGUUUGAGUGGCGUAGGCGUACUGUGGCUCUUUUCAGAGCGGCGGAGCGUAGCGUGAGGUCAGGGAGGGGUUUAUUGAAGCGAGAGCCGAGAACGUAUGAGAGAGAGGG